UACGUAGGGUGCAAGCGUUGUCCGGAAUUAUUGGGCGUAAAGAGCUCGUAGGCGGUCUGUCGCGUCGGCUGUGAAAUCCCGAGGCUCAACCUCGGGUCUGCAGUCGAUACGAGCAAACUAGAGUAUUGCAGGGGAGACUGGAAUUCCUGGUGUAGCGGUGAAAUGCGCAGAUAUCAGGAGGAACACCGGUGGCGAAGGCGGGUCUCUGGGCAAUAACUGACGCUGAGGAGCGAAAGCGUGGGGAGCGAACAGG
Molecule: ribosomal RNA, 253 nt
Filed under: uncultured bacterium
Lineage: Bacteria
Description: partial 16S ribosomal RNA
Rfam family: Bacterial small subunit ribosomal RNA
Source: RNAcentral